Molecule: ribosomal RNA, 257 nt
Filed under: uncultured bacterium
Lineage: Bacteria
Description: partial 16S ribosomal RNA
Rfam family: Bacterial small subunit ribosomal RNA
Source: RNAcentral
GAAGCGAACCUGCGAAGGCAAGCGGAUCUCUUAAAGCCGUUCUCAGUUCGGACUGUAGGCUGCAACUCGCCUACACGAAGCUAGAAUCGCUAGUAAUCGCGGAUCAGCACGCCGCGGUGAAUACGUUCCCGGGCCUUGUACACACCGCCCGUCACACCAUGAGAGUCUGUAACACCCAAAGCCGGUGGGAUAACCUUUAUAGGAGUCAGCCGUCUAAGGUAGGACAGAUGAUUAGGGUGAAGUCGUAACAAGGUACC